This 825-nucleotide ribosomal RNA is filed under the name uncultured Actinomycetes bacterium. RNAcentral describes it as "bacterial SSU rRNA". It matches the Rfam family "Bacterial small subunit ribosomal RNA", at positions 70 to 896 of the family's 1533-position model. Lineage: Bacteria; Bacillati; Actinomycetota; Actinomycetes. The record is from RNAcentral.
CAUUCUGUAGCAAUACAGGGUGUGGGCGCGUGGCGAACGGGUGCGUAACACGUGGAUAACCUUCCUUGAGGUGGGGAAUAACCCAGUGAAAAUUGGGCUAAUACCGCAUAACAUCGCGAUGGCACAUGCUGAUGCGAUCAAAGGCGCAAGUCGCCACAAGAGGGAUCCGCGGCCGAUUAGCUUGUUGGCGAGGUAAUGGCUCACCAAGGCAAUGAUCGGUAGCCGGACUGAGAGGUUGGCCGGCCACACUGGAACUGAGACACGGUCCAGACUCCUACGGGAGGCAGCAGUGGGGAAUCUUGCACAAUGGACGAAAGUCUGAUGCAGCAACGCCGCGUGGGGGAUGAAGCUUCUCGGAGUGUAAACCCCUUUCGACCCGGAAGAAUGCCCGCAAGGGUAUGACGGUACGGGUAUAAGAAGCCCCGGCUAACUACGUGCCAGCAGCCGCGGUAAUACGUAGGGGGCCAGCGUUGCUCGGAAUUACUGGGCGUAAAGGGUCCGUAGGCGGUGUAGCAAGUCGAUAGUGAAAUCUCUGGGCUUAACCCAGAGGCUGCUAACGAAACUGCUGUGCUAGAGUGUGAGAGAGGCGAGUGGAAUUACGGGUGUAGCGGUGAAAUGCGUAGAUAUCCGUAGGAACAUCCGAGGCGAAGGCGGCUCGCUGGAUCACAACUGACGCUGAGGGACGAAAGCUAGGGGAGCAAACAGGAUUAGAUACCCUGGUAGUCCUAGCCCUAAACCAUCAGGACUUGGGGUUUGCCCUGUACGGGGCAAGUCCCGUAGCUAACGCGUUAAGUCCUGCGCCUGGGGAGUACGGUCGCAAGGCUG